Molecule: long non-coding RNA, 2854 nt
Filed under: Haliotis rufescens (red abalone)
Lineage: Eukaryota; Metazoa; Mollusca; Gastropoda; Lepetellida; Haliotidae
Description: uncharacterized LOC124137070
Source: RNAcentral
AUGCGGACUGCGUAGAUGACCAGUCGCCUACGAUGACAGCAGGGCAAUUGCAAAAUCCAAUCAUAUCACCUGAUGCUGAUAUAACACGCACCUGUUGCUAGGGUUGACGAGUCAGUUGACGGUGUUGUACAUAUCAUAUGUGACAUUUGACAACCGUGUCGCUCUCUCGGCCCAGCUACUGGUAUAUAUAGAGUCAGGCACAGAUCUGGAAGAGAACAUCACAGACCAUCUGCUACAUAAGACGAGCUCACGAGAACCUCACAGAGCAUCAGCUACAUAAGACCAACUCACGAGAACAUCACAGAGCAUCUGCUACAUAAGACCAGCUCUCGAGAACAUCACAGAGCAUCAGCUACAUAAAACCAGCUCACGAGAACAUCACAGACCAUCUGCUACAUAAGAUCAGCUCUCGAGAACAUCACAGAGCAUCAGCUACAUAAGACCAGCUCACCAGAACAUCACAGAGCAUCUGCUACAUAAGACCAGCUCUCGAGAACAUCACAGAGCAUCAGCUACAUAAGACCAGCUCACGAGAACAUCACAGAGCAUCAGCUACAUAAGACCAGCUCACCAGAACAUCACAGAGUAUCAGCUACAUAAGACCAGCUCACGAGAACAUCACAGAGCAUCUGCUACAUAAGACCAGCUCUCGAGAACAUCACAGAGCAUCCGCUACAUAAGACCAGCUCACGAGAACAUCACAGACCAUCAGCUACAUAAGACCAGCUCACGAGAACAUCACAGAUCAUCAGCUACAUAAGACCAACUCACGACAACAUCACAGAGCAUCAGCUACAUAAGACCAGCUCACGAGAACAUCACAGAGCAUCAGCUACAUAGGACCAGCUCACGAGAACAUCACAGACCAUCAACUACAUAAGACCAGCUCACGAGAUCACAGAGCAUCAGCUACAUAAGACCAGCUCACGAGAACAUCACAGACCAUCUGCUACAUAAGACCAGCUCACGAGAACAUCACAGAGCAUCAGCUACAUAAGACCAGUUCACAUCAACGGCGUGUCGCUGUCAGCUUGUAUCCUACUAGACAUCAUCAGUACUACGACAUCAUCAACAACGUCAACAUCAUCGUUGUUCAUCAGUUGUGAUCGUCAUGACAACGCAAUCAAUGCAACAGUUAUCUGCCUCUCUGGAGAAGGUCCUCUCACCGUCAUCAGACGUGGUGAAUGUCACGCAGUCUCCAGCUACAACAUCAACAGCACCAGUAGCGACACCUGAACCCACGUCAGCCGCAACGACGUCCAAAACGGCCCCAAACGUUUACGAGUCGUUUCCUCCGUUACCAACAACUCCGCCACAACUCGAUACUGAAAGGAGCCGCUUCAGUUUCUGGACUGAAUACAACAGCAUUGUACUGAACAUGUCAUAUAUGAACGAAUAUCCGCUGAUGUCUUUAUGAACAGAAUAGGUUACACACACUCAUGGUGGUUAAGACAAGAGAAUUUGCCUCACUGGCCGUUUUUCAUUGGACCAACACACUGCAGGUUGAACCAUAAUAUUAAUUUUAUUAAGAUUUUAAAGGGUGAGUGGGUAUGGUUUUAGCAAUAUUCCAGCAAUAUCACGACGGGGGACACCAGAAAUUGGCAUCAUACAUUAUAUCUAUAUAGGGAGUCGAACCCGUGUCUUCGGCGUGACGAGAGAUCGCUUUAACCACAAAGCUACCCAACGACCCCACAGAUGUGUGAUACUCCAAUGUAGCUUGAAAUACGUGGCUCUAGGAAAUCCUUGUCCACAUUUUUCAUAUGAAGUGCACGUGACCAACUUUUUCAUAUUAAAUGCCGUGACCAACUUUUUCAUAUCUUUCAUUUCAUCGUCAUUAUCCCGUUUAUAUUUAAAAUUACAUCUUCCUGAGACCAGAUCACCCCAUUAAUGUAUCAUUUCCUAUCUCAUAAACAGCCCGCCCAGCUUCCGUUGUUUAAUAUACAACACGACAUAUUAAUCUUUUCACUGUUUACGUUUAAAUCAUAAACUUCAGAACAUGACAUCGUCAUUUCCUACCAUUCUGCUUCUCAAACACGACACAUCUCAUUGUUUUAAUUCAUAGAAUGUCUUAUCUACCACUUCCAUCGAGCUCGUCCCAUCUUUACUUCCUGCAUCCCAACAUUGUGUAUUCUCGAUGACCUUGCCAAGCAUGCGAGCACGCGCGUGAGACACGUGUCCAUGUAUACAGACUAGAGCACGUGUUUUGUACCCCGUGUUUCUGGGUAAGAACAACAAGCACGGGUAAUCUGUGAUCUGAGGCUCAUAGACAGAAAACUGUGUGACGGGAAGAUCUAACCUUCGUGUUUGUUGACCUAUCGGAAACUGAUCUAGACAGAGAGAAGGCAGUGUUCUUUUGUGAGUAUCCGUUGACAGAACAACCGCAACUCUACACCAGACAUGGAAGUAGUGCAUCAUGUCGCCAUGACCAGUGUUCAGUGAUUGUACUUAUACAGCUACACAGUCAUAGGUCAAGGAUACUCCCGGCCAGAUGACCACCACUACACACGAGUGAGUUAUUUUACGCCGCUUUAUCAAUAUUGUGAUAAUAUCACGGCGUGAGACACCACAGAGGCUUCUCACGUUUGAACAAUUUUACCACUAUGCUAUCCCACUGCCUCAGAAAAUAUACAUGAAGAUCCCUUUACAUUUUUAUAGACGUAUUUGAAUAUAUUGUUUGACAGCUGGUUCUUUAUUUAACUAUACCACACAAAUAAAAGUGAAGGAUCCCCCGAUUCUUUCAUAUUACGGUAGUUCAUCUGUCAAGACAGAGUAGUAUAAAAAACAGUUUCAAAGGGUUGUCGUUGUUGUUGGUUUGUUGUUUAACGCCGCACUCAGCAAUAUUCCAGCUAUAUGA